RNAcentral lists this transfer RNA (69 nucleotides) under Rattus norvegicus (Norway rat). It matches the Rfam family "tRNA". Rfam says of the family: Transfer RNA (tRNA) molecules are approximately 80 nucleotides in length. Their secondary structure includes four short double-helical elements and three loops (D, anti-codon, and T loops). Further hydrogen bonds mediate the characteristic L-shaped molecular structure. tRNAs have two regions of fundamental functional importance: the anti-codon, which is responsible for specific mRNA codon recognition, and the 3' end, to which the tRNAs corresponding amino acid is attached (by aminoacyl-tRNA synthetases). tRNAs cope with the degeneracy of the genetic code in two manners: having more than one tRNA (with a specific anti-codon) for a particular amino acid; and 'wobble' base-pairing, i.e. permitting non-standard base-pairing at the 3rd anti-codon position. The record is from Rfam by way of RNAcentral. Lineage: Eukaryota; Metazoa; Chordata; Mammalia; Rodentia; Muridae.
GGGGAUUUGGCUCAGUGGUAGAGCGCUUGCCUAGCAAGUACAAGGCCCUGGGUUCGGUUCCCAGCUCCA